GUCGAACGCGGCUAUCCCGCAAGGGAUAGCUGAGUGGCGAACGGGUGAGUAACACGUGGGUGACCUACCUUCGAAUGGGGGAUAACGUCCCGAAAGGGACGCUAAUACCGCAUAACAUCCCGCCUUUGAACAGGCGGACAUCAAAGCUGGGGAUCGCAAGACCUGGCGUUUGAAGAGGGGCCCGCGUCUGAUUAGCUAGUUGGUGGGGUAACGGCUCACCAAGGCGACGAUCAGUAUCCGGCCUGAGAGGGCGGACGGACACACUGGGACUGAGACACGGCCCAGACUCCUACGGGAGGCAGCAGUGGGGAAUUGUUCACAAUGGGCGCAAGCCUGAUGACGCAACGCCGCGUGGAGGAUGAAGGUCUUCGGAUUGUAAACCCCUGUUGCUCGGGACGAAAAGCUCUGACCUAACACGUCAGAGUCUGACGGUACCGGGUGAGGAAGCCCUGGCUAACUCUGUGCCAGCAGCCGCGGUAAUACAGAGGGGGCAAGCGUUGUUCGGAAUUACUGGGCGUAAAGGGCGCGUAGGCGGCCUUCUAAGUCAGACGUGAAAUCCCCGGGCUCAACCCGGGAACUGCGUCUGAUACUGGAGGGCUUGAAUCCGGGAGAGGGAUGUGGAAUUCCAGGUGUAGCGGUGAAAUGCGUAGAUAUCUGGAGGAACACCGGUGGCGAAGGCGGCAUCCUGGACCGGUAUUGA
Molecule: ribosomal RNA, 700 nt
Filed under: uncultured bacterium
Lineage: Bacteria
Description: bacterial SSU rRNA
Rfam family: Bacterial small subunit ribosomal RNA
Source: RNAcentral